This 440-nucleotide ribosomal RNA is filed under the name uncultured bacterium. Its description in RNAcentral is "partial 16S ribosomal RNA". It matches the Rfam family "Bacterial small subunit ribosomal RNA", at positions 338 to 795 of the family's 1533-position model. The record is from RNAcentral.
CCUACGGGUGGCAGCAGUGGGGGAUAUUGCACAAUGGGGGAAACCCUGAUGCAGCGACGCCGCGUGAGUGAAGAAGUCUUUCGGUAUGUAAAGCUCUAUCAGCAGGGAAGAAAAUGACAGUACCUGACCAAGAAGCCCCGGCUAACUACGUGCCAGCAGGCGCGGGAAUACGUAGUGGGCAAGCGUUCUCCGGAUUGACUGGGUGUAAAGGGAGCUUAGACGGUGAUGUAAGUCAGGAGUGAAAGCCCGGGGCUCAACCUCUGGAUUGCAUUUGAUACUGGGUAGCUGGAGUACAGGAGGGGUAGGCGGAAUUCCUGGUGUAGCGGUGAAAUGCGUAGAUAUGAGGAGGAACACCGACGGCGAAGGCAGCCUGCUGGACUGAAACUGACGUUGAGGCUCGAAAGCGUGGGGAGCAAACAGGAUUAGAUACCCUAGUAGUC